Molecule: long non-coding RNA, 660 nt
Filed under: Equus caballus (horse)
Lineage: Eukaryota; Metazoa; Chordata; Mammalia; Perissodactyla; Equidae
Description: lncRNA (ENSECAG00000048445.1)
Source: RNAcentral
AGCAGUUGUGAGCAUCAAAUGGGAUAAUGGUUGCCGUGCGGCUGGUGCCUCACACAGGUCUCCUGCUGGCAGCUGAGUAUGGUCUCCAGGGGCAGAAAGACCAGGAACUUUCGAGCCAGAUACGGGCCUGAGAUACGGGUUGCAUAGCACGCAUCCUGCCUAUUAAUAACUGUAAGUCCUUGUGCAAGCCAUGGCCCCUCCCGGAACCUCAACACUCCAGUUGUCUCAUAGGCAAAUUGUCCUGCCUGCCUUGCUGGGUUCCAAGGUGACCCAAAGAAUUUGCGGCUGUGAAACUACUCUGCAAACCCUCAAAUGCCAUCCACUUGGAAAGUGUGCUUGUGGAGGCCACGAAGCUGUUGACAGCUGCUGUUUGGCAUUGGCUGGGAGGAAGGUCAGAGCGUCCAGUGCUCAUGCAUGUGAACUCUGGGACUUCACAUGCUGGGAACAUCAUUGGGAGACACCAGCUGACCCCCCUUGUCCCCAGGGAGCAAAUGUGCCUGGCUCACUGUCCCCGUGGACGUGAGUGAAGCAUUUACACAACACAAGCAAGGCUUCCAGAGCAUCCUAGAGCAAUGUUAACUUUUUUCAGUGCUCCGUGAAUGUCGUCUUUACACCUGUUAUCUCAUUCAUUUAACCUUCCUAGUGACUCUAGGAAACAGG